RNAcentral lists this ribosomal RNA (300 nucleotides) under uncultured Haloarcula sp. RNAcentral's name for it is "bacterial SSU rRNA". The stretch from base 52 to 300 matches the Rfam family "Bacterial small subunit ribosomal RNA", at positions 547 to 795 of the family's 1533-position model. Lineage: Archaea; Methanobacteriati; Methanobacteriota; Halobacteria; Halobacteriales; Haloarculaceae. The record is from RNAcentral.
AGUAAAGUCGUGGAUGCUAGCAUGGGAAAAUGAAGGUGGUGAGGGGUAAGAGGAAAGACUGGGGGGAGAGCGGGCGGAGGUGGUUGUUGAGGUAUGCUUUGGAAUCCCUGGGCUCAACCUGGGAAUGGAAGUGGCGACGGGAGAGCUAGAGUGGGAGAGAGGAGGGUGGAAUGUCCGGUGUAGCGGGGAAAUGCGUAGAGAUCGGUAGGGACAGCAGUGGCGAAGGCGGCCAUCUGGAUCAACACUGACGCUGAGGCACGAAAGCGUGGGGAGCAAACAGGAUUAGAUACCCGAGUAGUC